AUGGCAGCGGGUGGAGCUAUUACAAACAAGACACUUGAUGAAGCUUUUCUGCUGAUUGAGAGCAUAGCUUUCCACCAACUUCAGUGGUACAAUAAGAAGCCCACGUCUGAUUCAUUGGUUUGCUUGCAACAAAUCACUACACCUCAGCCACCAAUUCUUACACAGAAUCCUGAACCUCUAUCUCAGUGUGACAAGAUUGAGCUUGCAUGGAUUAUCUUUGACGAUGAUGACACCAUUCUAGUUGACACACACGCUACAGAUCAUAUGGAUACUAGUGUUGGAGACUCGGUUUUGCAUUGUGAUGAUUCUUCUAUUGAUGAGCCAGAGCUGCAGUUAGUUGUUUUUGAUAUUGAGGAGUCACCUUUAGUUGAUAUUGAUCAUGUGCUGCUAGAGCCAGAUAUGGAGAAGUUCACCUUCGAUGAUGUUAGCCGUAUUGCUUCCUCAACACUUGAGCCCGAGAUGGAGAGCUUCAUGGUUGAGUAUGGUGAGGUGGAUUCAGAUGUCAAGGAGUCAAGCUCUAUUUCACUUGUUGACAUGAAUCCGGUGGAAAUUUCUACUACCACACCUCACUUGGUAUCUUCAAUGGAGGUAGUCCUGAAGCUUCUUCCUAACUAUCUCAGGUUGAUGCUUGUGUACCAUUUACUGCGAGUUGACCGAGUUCGAGAUGACAUUCCCUGGAAUCCUGGUGGACUCAGAGCAUGGGGAUGA
This 708-nucleotide ribosomal RNA is filed under the name Triticum aestivum (bread wheat). RNAcentral's name for it is "partial small subunit ribosomal RNA". The record is from RNAcentral. Lineage: Eukaryota; Viridiplantae; Streptophyta; Magnoliopsida; Poales; Poaceae.